UACAGAGGGUGCGAGCGUUGUUCGGAAUUACUGGGCGUAAAGCGCGCGCAGGCGGCCUUUUAAGUCUGACGGUGAAAUGCCGGGGCUCAACCCCGUUGCAUGCCGCGGAUACUGGGAGGCUGGAGACAAGUAGAGGCAAGCGGAAUUCCGGGUGUAGCGGUGGAAUGCGUAGAGAUCCGGAAGAACACCGGAGGCGAAGGCGGCUUGCUGGGCUUGGUCUGACGCUGAGGCGCGAAAGCGUGGGGAGCGAACAGG
This 255-nucleotide ribosomal RNA is filed under the name uncultured bacterium. Its description in RNAcentral is "partial 16S ribosomal RNA". It matches the Rfam family "Bacterial small subunit ribosomal RNA", at positions 524 to 776 of the family's 1533-position model. The record is from RNAcentral.